AUGAAGGCCGGGCGCCCAGCUCUGCCCUCGUCACCCCACCUCCAGGGAGGAAAUGUGGUUCCAGGCCCUCGCCGGCCUCCGUCUCCCCACCUGGACGGCAUCUCUGAUCGGGCUGUUUGCACCUGCAAAAGGCCUCCCCGGAGACCAGCCCCUGGUCUGGCAGGGCCCCCGGCCUCCUUCCCACUGAAGUCGGCGUGGAGGUCGCUGGCCUCCAACGAUGAGCCCGCCCGAGCUUGGGGGGUCUGGGGAGGACCCGGCGCUUGGACCCCGUCUUCCAACAGAAGCCAGGGGACCGAGGAACCCGAAGCUCCUGCCCAACGGCUCAGUCGGCACGUCCCCGCCCUUCGAGAUCCAGCGUUUCCUUUUGUCGCCUCAUCAUGUGACGAAUGUCAUUCAAAACGCCGGUCAGUCCUCAGCGUUUAUCGCAAAAGCCACGCCCGCCUGGAUUCCCACCCCCGCCCCGGAAGCGAAGGUUGGCCACGUUCAGCUUUUCGCCUGUCUUGGCCUUGCUUUGGUUUUGCGGGUUUGGCACUUGGCUCCCCGUUUCCAAAGGACCUGCCGUUGUGCUGUGCCCCUCAUCUCGUCAUCCUUCCCUCCAGGUGGCAGAGACGCAUCGAGCGCGCCCAGCGCCCCGUCCCCCAUAGAGGGAAGCCCCACUUUCCAUUCAACCUGACCCAACGUUCAUCCAUUAGUUAACGUAUGGACUAAAAGUUCUGAAUGAGGCUCACAGGUACAUCAGCUCCCCGCUGUGUCUCCGUCCUACUCUCUCCUCGCCCCCAGGGCAGCCCCCAGGGUACGUUCUCCAGUCUCCUGUGUCUCCACCACGAGUUCCUCCCCUGAGCAUUUCUGCAAAGCUGGGAGAACCCAUCCUCCUGUGUUUCAUGGGGGGGGGGGGACGGCUGGUCCAGCCCAGUUUUCUCUCUGGAUACAUCCAUCUGGACGGCGUUGUCUUGCGCCCGCUCGCGGGGCUCUGUCUUCCCCUUUGAUGACCCCGAUCCUGGUCCCACAUCUUCCGGCUUGUGGUUUUGAAACUGACAGCACUUAGGACUCAAACCCAGCCUAAACCCCGUUCGGGAGUUGAACCCACGGUUGUUAACGUAGAAUCCCUCACCUNCCCACAUCUUCCGGCUUGUGGUUUUGAAACUGACAGCACUAAGGACUCAAACCCAGCCUAAACCCUGUUCGGGAGUUGAACCCACGGUUGUUAACAUAGAAUCCCUCACCCGGUGUCCGGACUUACGGAGGGUCAGCUUCUUUGUGUCCCAGCACAGAAGGAAAUCAAGUGAUAAGCAAGAAAUAGAUUUAUGAAGACAGGACGCUCGUGAGAGACGCCAGCGGGCAGGCAGGGGGCCUCUGCCCCGAGGGUCGGGUGGGCUCUGUUUCUAAUCCACCCGGAGUGGGGCUGGGGAAGGACCCCCGCUUCCUCCUUCGUCAAAGUGCUUUUUCCCUUCCGCAGAGGGCGGUCCUUCAACGCCUGCCCUUGGUGCUAAGGAUCUUCUUGGGGCUGAACUUGAACGCAGGCCUCAUUUUAAUGACCUGAGGCAUAGCUGGUGCUUUUAUUUGUGGUUUUGUUAAGCAAGCCGGCUUCUUUCUGAUGACUUUCUGGAGCGACCAUUAACCUCCGUGGUCUCCCGAAGCCCCCUAGGUUUCCCUGUCUCUCUGUGGUCCCCUCCUGGGACUUGCACAACUGCCCGUG
This 1696-nucleotide long non-coding RNA is filed under the name Sus scrofa (pig). RNAcentral describes it as "lncRNA (ENSSSCG00025067346.1)". Lineage: Eukaryota; Metazoa; Chordata; Mammalia; Artiodactyla; Suidae. The record is from RNAcentral.